This 405-nucleotide ribosomal RNA is filed under the name uncultured bacterium. RNAcentral's name for it is "partial 16S ribosomal RNA". It matches the Rfam family "Bacterial small subunit ribosomal RNA", at positions 28 to 526 of the family's 1533-position model. The record is from RNAcentral.
GACGAACGCUGGCGGCGUGCUUAACACAUGCAAGUCGAGCGGAGCGGCGAACGGGAGAGUAAGGCGUGAGUAACUGCCCCCCUCUCUGGGGUAACAGUUGGAAACGGCUGCUAAUACCGGAUAGUGGGGGAUGACUCGGGUCCUAUCAGCUUGUUGGUGGGGGAUGGGCCUACCAAGGCGACGGCUGGUAGCCGGCCUGAGAGGGCGUCCGGCGACAUUGCGCUAAGAUACGGCCCAAACGCCUACGGUAGGCAGCAGUCGGGAAUCUUGCACAAUCGGGGCACCCCUGAGGCAGAAACGCCGCGUGCGGGAUGCCGUCCUUCGGGUUGUAAACCGCUUUCAGCCAUGACGCGGUAGUUGCAGAAGAAGCACCGGCUAACUACGUGCCAGCAGCCGCGGUAAUAC